AUGAAUGCCAGGAUGCUCUUUUAGAGGUCCGACCCAUUUUAUUACCACACUGUGCAUCAACUAUUUUUACACCCUUUUAUACACUAAAGUAUUGAAUGUCAAUAGUCUCUUAACUGAGCAUUAAAGUUAUAA
This 132-nucleotide unclassified non-coding RNA is filed under the name uncultured fungus. RNAcentral's name for it is "sequence contains ITS1". Lineage: Eukaryota; Fungi. The record is from RNAcentral.